Molecule: unclassified non-coding RNA, 358 nt
Filed under: soil metagenome
Description: partial contains 5.8S ribosomal RNA, internal transcribed spacer 2, and large subunit ribosomal RNA
Rfam family: 5.8S ribosomal RNA (bases 1-120)
Source: RNAcentral
GAUGAAGAACGUAGUGAAAUGCGAUAAGUAAUGUGAAUUGCAGAAUUCAGUGAAUCAUUGAAUCUUUGAACGCACAUUGCGCCCGCCAGUAUUCUGGCGGGCAUGCCUGUCCGAGCGUCAUUUCAACCCUCGAACCCCUCCGGGGGGUCGGCGUUGGGGACCUCGGGAGCCCCUAAGACGGGAUCCCGGCCCCGAAAUACAGUGGCGGUCUCGCCGCAGCCUCUCCUGCGCAGAAGUUUGCACAACUCGCACCGGGAGCGCGGCGCGUCCACGUCCGUAAAACACCCAACUUCUGAAAUGUUGACCUCGGAUCAGGUAGGAAUGCCCGCUGAACUUAAGCAUAUCGAUAAGCGGAGGA